GUGAGGAAUAUUGCGCAAUGGAGGCAACUCUGACGCAGCCAUGCCGCGUGCAGGAAGAUGGCGCUACGCGUUGUAAACUGCUUUUAACCGGGAAGAAACCCCAGGACGUGUCCUGGGUUGACGGUACCGGAGGAAUAAGCACCGGCUAACUUCGUGCCAGCAGCCGCGGUAAUACGAAGGGUGCAAGCGUUAUCCGGAUUCAUUGGGUUUAAAGGGUGCGUAGGCGGAGCGUUAAGUCAGUGGUGAAAUCCUGCAGCUUAACUGUAGACUUGCCAUUGAUACUGGCGCUCUUGAGUGCGCUUGAAGUGGGCGGAAUGUGCCGUGUAGCGGUGAAAUGCUUAGAUAUGGCACAGAACACCAAUUGCGAAGGCAGCUCACUAAGGCGAUACUGACGCUGAGGCACGAAAGCGUGGGGAUCGAACAGGAUUAGAUACCCUGGUAGUCC
RNAcentral lists this ribosomal RNA (445 nucleotides) under uncultured bacterium. RNAcentral's name for it is "partial 16S ribosomal RNA". It matches the Rfam family "Bacterial small subunit ribosomal RNA", at positions 354 to 796 of the family's 1533-position model. The record is from RNAcentral.